RNAcentral lists this ribosomal RNA (255 nucleotides) under uncultured bacterium. RNAcentral's name for it is "partial 16S ribosomal RNA". It matches the Rfam family "Bacterial small subunit ribosomal RNA", at positions 96 to 353 of the family's 1533-position model. The record is from RNAcentral.
UGGCGGACGGGUGAGUAAUGUCUGGGAAACUGCCUGAUGGAGGGGGAUAACUACUGGGAACGGUAGCUAAUACCGCAUAACGUCGCAAGACCAAAGAGGGGGACCUUCGGGCCUCUUGCCAUCGGAUGUGCCCAGAUGGGAUUAGCUAGUAGGUGGGGUAAAGGCUCACCUAGGCGACGAUCCCUAGCUGGUCUGAGAGGAUGACCAGCCACACUGGAACUGAGACACGGUCCAGACUCCUACGGGAGGCAGCAU